RNAcentral lists this transfer RNA (65 nucleotides) under Austrodecus sp. JZ-2022. RNAcentral's name for it is "tRNA-Met". The record is from RNAcentral. Lineage: Eukaryota; Metazoa; Arthropoda; Pycnogonida; Pantopoda; Austrodecidae.
AAAAAGGUAAGCUAAAUUCAAAGCUUUUGGAUUCAUACCUCAAAUAUAGAUCAUUCUCCUUUUUA